AGUCCGGGAAGACCCACCAACCCACGGCAGAAUCCAGCAGGACGUGAAGUACCUUCUUGUCUCCGGAUAAUCACAGCGGGAGGAGUGUGUACCCAGAUCUGCUGCUUGUGGUUGGAUGCAGACUGAAGCCAAGCUGAAGAGCGAGAAGAUGACGAAGGCAAUGAUGAUGAAGAGUAUCCUCCAAGCCACACCUUCACCAUCCUGGAAGGAGUAGCACUGGAUCCUAUAACAAAGUACACAAACACCC
Long non-coding RNA from Dicentrarchus labrax (European seabass), 247 nucleotides. RefSeq lists it as uncharacterized. Lineage: Eukaryota; Metazoa; Chordata; Actinopteri; Moronidae. The transcript is spliced from 3 exons. The record is from RefSeq and is a predicted model, not a curated record.